CAUGUCCUUUUGAGAAUAAUUUAAGGUCUAAUCUGCCCACUGAGGAAUUAAAUGGCCGCGGUAUUUUGACCGUGCAAAGGUAGCAUAAUCAUUAGUUUCUUAAUUAGAAGCUGGAAUGAAUGAUUGGAUGAGAAAAUAACUGUCUCAAGUUAAUUUUUUUUGAAUUUUAUAUUUAAGUUAAAAAGCUUAAAUUUAAUUAAAAGACGAGAAGACCCUAUAGAGUUUAAUUUUUAUUUUAAAUUUUAAAUUAUUGAUUUUAUUGUUAAAAUUUAAUUUAAAAAUUUUGUUGGGGUGAUAGAAAAAUUAAAUAAACUUUUUUUAAAUAUUAACAUUAAUUUAUGAAUAAUUGAUCCAAAAUUUUUGAUUAAAAGAAUAAAUUACCUUAGGGAUAACAGCGUAAUUUUUUUUGAGAGUUCUAAUCGAAAAAAAAGAUUGCGACCUCGAUGUUGGAUUAAAAUUAAUUUUUGGUGUAGAAGCUAAAAAAUUAGGUCUGUUCGACCUUUAAAAUUUUACAUGAUCUGAGU
RNAcentral lists this ribosomal RNA (524 nucleotides) under Trichodes apiarius. RNAcentral describes it as "partial 16S ribosomal RNA". It matches the Rfam family "Bacterial large subunit ribosomal RNA", at positions 1816 to 2610 of the family's 2925-position model. The record is from RNAcentral. Lineage: Eukaryota; Metazoa; Arthropoda; Insecta; Coleoptera; Cleridae.